AGAGUUUGAUCAUGGCUCAGGAUGAACGCUGGCGGCGUGCUUAACACAUGCAAGUCGAACGGUGAAGCCCAGCUUGCUGGGUGGAUCAGUGGCGAACGGGUGAGUAACACGUGAGCAAUCUGCCCCUGACUCUGGGAUAAGCGCUGGAAACGGCGUCUAAUACUGGAUAUGAACCGUGGAGGCAUCUUCAACGGUUGGAAAGAUUUUUUGGUCAGGGAUGAGCUCGCGGCCUAUCAGCUUGUUGGUGAGGUAAUGGCUCACCAAGGCGUCGACGGGUAGCCGGCCUGAGAGGGUGACCGGCCACACUGGGACUGAGACACGGCCCAGACUCCUACGGGAGGCAGCAGUGGGGAAUAUUGCACAAUGGGCGCAAGCCUGAUGCAGCAACGCCGCGUGAGGGAUGACGGCCUUCGGGUUGUAAACCUCUUUUAGCAGGGAAGAAGCGAAAGUGACGGUACCUGCAGAAAAAGCGCCGGCUAACUACGUGCCAGCAGCCGCGGUAAUACGUAGGGCGCAAGCGUUAUCCGGAAUUAUUGGGCGUAAAGAGCUCGUAGGCGGUUUGUCGCGUCUGCUGUGAAAUCCCGAGGCUCAACCUCGGGUCUGCAGUGGGUACGGGCAGACUAGAGUGCGGUAGGGGAGAUUGGAAUUCCUGGUGUAGCGGUGGAAUGCGCAGAUAUCAGGAGGAACACCGAUGGCGAAGGCAGAUCUCUGGGCCGUAACUGACGCUGAGGAGCGAAAGGGUGGGGAGCAAACAGGCUUAGAUACCCUGGUAGUCCACCCCGUAAACGUUGGGAACUAGUUGUGGGGUCCAUUCCACGGAUUCCGUGACGCAGCUAACGCAUUAAAUUCCCCGCCUGGGGAGUACGGCCGCAAGGCUAAAACUCAAAGGAAUUGACGGGGACCCGCACAAGCGGCGGAGCAUGCGGAUUAACUCGAUGCAACGCGAAGAACCUUACCAAGGCUUGACAUAUACGAGAACGCUGCAGAAAUGUAGAACUCUUUGGACACUCGUAAACAGGUGGUGCAUGGUUGUCGUCAGCUCGUGUCGUGAGAUGUUGGGUUAAGUCCCGCAACGAGCGCAACCCUCGUUCCAUGUUGCCAGCACGUAAUGGUGGGGACUCAUGGGAUACUGCCGGGGUCAACUCGGAGGAAGGUGGGGAUGACGUCAAAUCAUCAUGCCCCUUAUGUCUUGGGCUUCACGCAUGCUACAAUGGCCGGUACAAAGGGCUGCAAUACCGUAAGGUGGAGCGAAUCCCAAAAAGCCGGUCCCAGUUCGGAUUGAGGUCUGCAACUCGACCUCAUGAAGUCGGAGUCGCUAGUAAUCGCAGAUCAGCAACGCUGCGGUGAAUACGUUCCCGGGUCUUGUACACACCGCCCGUCAAGUCAUGAAAGUCGGUAACACCUGAAGCCGGUGGCCCAACCCUUGUGGAGGGAGCCGUCGAAGGUGGGAUCGGUAAUUAGGACUAAGUCGUAACAAGGUAACCGUA
This 1487-nucleotide ribosomal RNA is filed under the name Microbacterium sp. U8B. RNAcentral describes it as "16S ribosomal RNA". It matches the Rfam family "Bacterial small subunit ribosomal RNA". The record is from RNAcentral. Lineage: Bacteria; Bacillati; Actinomycetota; Actinomycetes; Micrococcales; Microbacteriaceae.